Molecule: unclassified non-coding RNA, 281 nt
Filed under: Funneliformis mosseae
Lineage: Eukaryota; Fungi; Glomeromycota; Glomeromycetes; Glomerales; Glomeraceae
Description: partial contains 5.8S ribosomal RNA and internal transcribed spacer 2
Rfam family: 5.8S ribosomal RNA (bases 1-71)
Source: RNAcentral
GUGAAUCAUCAAAUCUUUGAACGCAAAUUGCACUCCCUGGUAUUCCGGGGAGCAUGCCUGUUUGAGGGUCGUUAGACUACAAAAUCGAUGCGUCGCUCUUUUUUUAAGGGUGAUCGCGUCGGAAUUGAGCCGUCUUUCAAAUGUUAAUUCAUGUCAAAGUGGCUUGAAAUUCAUCCAUCCGGUACGCUUGAAGCGUAUUUACGAUCAAUUUUGAUUGAGAACGCGCGAUGACGUACCACUUCAUGUAGUACGUUUGACCUGGGUCAUCAUGAUAUUCCGUA